Molecule: ribosomal RNA, 918 nt
Filed under: uncultured bacterium
Lineage: Bacteria
Description: bacterial SSU rRNA
Rfam family: Bacterial small subunit ribosomal RNA
Source: RNAcentral
ACGCUGGCGGCGUGCCUAAUACAUGCAAGUCGAGCGAGAUGUUAGCGCAUGAACCUUCGGGGGAUUAUGCUAACGGACAGCGGCGGACGGGUGAGUAACGCGUAGGCAACCUGCCCCUGACAGAGGGAUAGCCAUUGGAAACGAUGAUUAAAACCUCAUGACACCGUAGAAGCACAUGCUUCAUCGGUCAAAGAUUUAUCGGUCAGGGAUGGGCCUGCGUCUGAUUAACUAGUUGGUGAGGUAACGGCUCACCAAGGUGACGAUCAGUAGCCGACCUGAGAGGGUGAUCGGCCACAUUGGAACUGAGGCACGGUCCAAACUUCUACGGAAGGCAGCAGUAGGGAAUCUUGCACAAUGGGCGAAAGCCUGAUGCAGCAACGCCGCGUGAAGGAUGAAGGCCUUCGGGUUGUAAACUUCUGUUCUAAGGGAAGAAACAAAUGACGGUACCUUAGGAGCAAGCCCCGGCUAACUACGUGCCAGCAGCCGCGGUAAUACGUAGGGGGCAAGCGUUAUCCGGAAUUAUUGGGCGUAAAGAGUGCGUAGGUGGUUACCUAAGCGCAAGGUUUAAUUUAGAGGCUCAACCUCUACUUGCCUUGCGAACUGGGCCACUUGAGUGCAGGAGGGGAAAGCGGAAUUCCUAGUGUAGCGGUGAAAUGCGUAGAUAUUAGGAGGAACACCAGCGGCGAAGGCGGCUUUCUGGACUGUAACUGACACUGAGGCACGAAAGCGUGGGUAGCAAACAGGAUUAGAUACCCUGGUAGUCCACGCCGUAAACGAUGAGCACUAGGUGUUGGGCCCGUUAGGCUCAGUGCCGCAGUUAACGCAAUAAGUGCUCCGCCUGGGGAGUACGCUCGCAAGAGUAAAACUCAAAGGAAUUGACGGGGACCCGCACAAGCAGCGGAGCAUGUGGUUUAAUUC